UAACACCUAGGAAACAGAUGCUAAUACCGGNAUAACAACAGAUGAUGCCUAUCAACUGUUUAAAAGAUGGUUCUGCUAUCACUCUUGGAUGGACCUGCGGUGCAUUAGCUAGUUGGUAGGGUAACGGCCUACCAAGGCGAUGAUGCAUAGCCGAGUUGAGAGACUGAUCGGCCACAUUGGGACUGAGACACGGCCCAAACUCCUACGGGAGGCAGCAGGC
Molecule: ribosomal RNA, 220 nt
Filed under: uncultured Lactobacillus sp.
Lineage: Bacteria; Bacillati; Bacillota; Bacilli; Lactobacillales; Lactobacillaceae
Description: partial 16S ribosomal RNA
Rfam family: Bacterial small subunit ribosomal RNA
Source: RNAcentral